Molecule: long non-coding RNA, 605 nt
Filed under: Homo sapiens (human)
Lineage: Eukaryota; Metazoa; Chordata; Mammalia; Primates; Hominidae
Description: non-protein coding lnc-CTPS2-4:1
Source: RNAcentral
GAUGUGAGCUUGAGAAAAUCAGAACUCUUGCAAGCAAAAAGCAAGCUGGGCUUCAAGCGCCUGCCUUGGGACUCCCCAGCAUUUCUUUGAAAUGGUAACAUGAGGGGAAAGCGGAAUAAAAAGGGAAGGGCGUGUGAUAAUGCAGAAGGGGAUGAGCAUGUCAGGAGAUUUCUGAUGAGCCUGGUACAGUGCAUUGCCCAGACUGUCAAAACGUGUACCAGUAAAUGGGCAACAGAGCUAAGAUAUGGAACUGGAUAAUCAAGUCGUGGAUGGGGCUACGGGGAUUGCCCAUUCCUGGCUGAGAAGUUGGCAGUUUCUGUUUUGUAUUAGCAAAGAAGUUGGUUAAAGUGUCACCCAUGGCAUUUUUGGACCAAGACCUCAUGUCUACUGAAGCCGAAGCUUUGGGGGAACUGAGGAAUCCCUUCAGCAGCAGACGGCUCCAUGUGAUUCAGUGAAGGCGCACAAGCUGCUCUCCAACCGCCGUGGCUUCUUUCCUGUUCUGGUUAUUUUGCCAGUUUCACCACACCACACUCGGAGCAGUUUCCCAGAGAGCGUGGGUGUUAAUGAUCAGGAGGAACAGAGUUCUGUGAUCAAGUGAAUUUUGG